AACGAACGCUGGCGGCAUGCCUAACACAUGCAAGUCGAACGAGACCUCCGGGUCUUUUGGCGUACGGCUGCGUAACGCGUGGGAACCUUCCCUUAGGUUCGGAAUACCUCUCCGAAUGGGGUGCUAAUACCGGAUAAUGUCUUCGGCCCAAGGAUUUAUCGCCUCUGGUUGGGCCCGCGUUGGAUUCGCUAGUUGGUAGGGUAAUAGCAUAGUAAGGCCCGGAUGCAUAGCUGGUAUGAGAGGAAGAUCAGCGACACUGGGAUUCAGACACGGCCUAGAAUCCUACGGAAGGGAGGAGUGGGGAAUAGUGGACAAUGGGGGGAGGCAUGAACCAGCAAUGACGGGUAAGUGAUGAAGGCAGUAGGGAUGAAAAGCUCAAUUACCCGGGAUGAUAAUGACAGUACCGGGUGAAUAAGCUCCGGCUAACUACGUG
This 433-nucleotide ribosomal RNA is filed under the name uncultured bacterium. RNAcentral describes it as "partial 16S ribosomal RNA". It matches the Rfam family "Bacterial small subunit ribosomal RNA", at positions 29 to 507 of the family's 1533-position model. The record is from RNAcentral.